RNAcentral lists this unclassified non-coding RNA (329 nucleotides) under soil metagenome. RNAcentral's name for it is "partial contains 5.8S ribosomal RNA, internal transcribed spacer 2, and large subunit ribosomal RNA". The stretch from base 1 to 120 matches the Rfam family "5.8S ribosomal RNA", at positions 35 to 154 of the family's 154-position model. The record is from RNAcentral.
GAUGAAGAACGUAGCGAAAUGCGAUAAGUAAUGUGAAUUGCAGAAUUCAGUGAAUCAUCGAAUCUUUGAACGCACAUUACGCCCUCUGGUAUUCCGGGGGGCAUGCCUGUUCGAGCGUCAUUAUAACCACUCAAGCUCUCGCUUGGUAUUGGAGUUCGCGAUCUCGCGGCUCCUAAAAUCAGUGGCGGUGCCUGUCGGCUCUACGCGUAGUAAUACUCCUCGCGAUUGAGUCCGGUAGGUUUACUUGCCAGCAACCCCCAAUUUUUACAGGUUGACCUCGGAUCAGGUAGGGAUACCCGCUGAACUUAAGCAUAUCAAUAAGCGGAGGA